GAUGAACGCUGGCGGCGUGCCUAAUACAUGCAAGUCGAGCGAACGGACGAGAAGCUUGCUUCUCUGAUGUUAGCGGCGGACGGGUGAGUAACACGUGGAUAACCUACCUAUAAGACUGGGAUAACUUCGGGAAACCGGAGCUAAUACCGGAUAAUAUUUUGAACCGCAUGGUUCAAAAGUAAAAGACGGUCUUGCUGUCACUUAUAGAUGGAUCCGCGCUGCAUUAGCUAGUUGGUAAGGUAACGGCUUACCAAGGCAACGAUGCAUAGCCGACCUGAGAGGGGGAUCGGCCACACUGGAACUGAGACACGGUCCAGACUCCUACGGGAGGCAGCAGUAGGGAAUCUUCUGCAAUGGGCGAAAGCCUGACGGAGCAACGCCGCGUGAGUGAUGAAGGUCUUCGGAUCGUAAAACUCUGUUAUUAGGGAAGAACAUAUGUGUAAGUAACUGUGCACAUCUUGACGGUACCUAAUCAGAAAGCCACGGCUAACUACGUG
This 497-nucleotide ribosomal RNA is filed under the name uncultured bacterium. RNAcentral describes it as "partial 16S ribosomal RNA". It matches the Rfam family "Bacterial small subunit ribosomal RNA", at positions 28 to 507 of the family's 1533-position model. The record is from RNAcentral.